This 29-nucleotide small RNA is filed under the name Bombyx mori (domestic silkworm). RNAcentral describes it as "ovarian small RNA-26444". The record is from RNAcentral. Lineage: Eukaryota; Metazoa; Arthropoda; Insecta; Lepidoptera; Bombycidae.
UCCAAACAAGCUAUUGGCUACGUAGCCCA